This 404-nucleotide unclassified non-coding RNA is filed under the name soil metagenome. RNAcentral describes it as "partial contains 5.8S ribosomal RNA, internal transcribed spacer 2, and large subunit ribosomal RNA". The stretch from base 1 to 121 matches the Rfam family "5.8S ribosomal RNA", at positions 35 to 154 of the family's 154-position model. The record is from RNAcentral.
GAUGAAGAACGCAGCGAAAUGCGAUAAGUAAUGUGAAUUGCAGAAUUCAGUGAAUCAUCGAAUCUUUGAACGCACCUUGCGCCCUUUGGCCAUUCCGAAGGGCAUGCCUGUUUGAGUAUCAUGAACACCUCAACUCUUUAUGGUUUUCCAUGAUGAGCUUGGACUCUGGGGGUUUUGCUGGCUCACAGUCAGCUCCUCUAAAAUGAAUCAGCUUACCAGUGUUUGGUGGGUAUCAUGGGUGUGAUAACUAUCUACGCUUGUGGUUUUUCCACCAGGUAACCUUCAGCAGUGGAGGUUCGCUGGAGCUCAUAGAUGUCUCUCCUUGCCAAGGACAGAUUUUGACCAUUUGAUCUCAAAUCAGGUAGGACUACCCGCUGAACUUAAGCAUAUCAAUAAGCGGAGGA